Molecule: non-coding RNA, 242 nt
Organism: Pelobates cultripes (western spadefoot toad)
Lineage: Eukaryota; Metazoa; Chordata; Amphibia; Anura; Pelobatidae
Source: the annotation of a GenBank genome assembly
AGCAAGAAAAGGAAGCCCUAACCAAUGUCUUGUAUCUAACAAAGAUGGGCAAAACACUAAGAGAAAAUUUAGAGUCAUAUAUCUACUCUAACAAAUUUUUAAUAAUAAGACUGUAAACUGUGAUGAAACUCAAAGUUUUUCUUAGACUUGGAAAAAAAUGAAAGAAAAUAAAGUGUACCAAGACAAGGUUAUUCACCCAGGAUCAAAUACUGUCCAUAUCGACAAACUGCGUUUAAAAUAAC